CUCCCCGCACGCGCGGGCCUGGCGCCGGUGCCGCCGCAGCGCCCCCUGCAGGCCGGAGCCGAGCUGGCCCAGGCCUGAGUCUGGCCCGGGGUUCCGUGGCCCCAGUGCAGGCCCCGCGGCUGCUGCUCCGGCCCGGCCAGGCUGCCUUCGUGUUGAGGCGAAAGGACUGGGCCUCAGUGGGUGAAGGGACCGGGUGGCCCGCUUCCACCUAGGGCAGAGGCUCGAUCGGCCGCGGCGAGGCUGGGCCCAGCAUUACUGGGAGGGGAACUUGAGAGCCGCGGGUUGAUGUUCGGAGCUCAGGCGACGACUGACCACCCACCCUUCCUCGAAGAGCAACAAUGGCUUGGGUUUGGUUUUUAAUUUUUGAUUCCCCCACCUCCCCUUUCUUGAUUCCAAAGGAAAUAUAGCAUUCAAGCGCCAUGUCUGUUGGGAAUAUAUAAUUCCUUGGCAAAGAAAGAGGAAACAUUUCUCUGAUAAACACAAGAAUCUCAGUAAGAAUUGCAUUAUUGAGAACUUUUCCCACUGAUAAAGUAGGGAAGAGGAAGGGGAAAAUAGGGUAAGGGAAUGCUGGAAGACAAACUUUAAACUUUAUCUCCUUUUUUUUUUUUUUUUGUCAAUUGUUGGUGCAUCCUGUUGGUGUUCCGAGAAGUUGUGGCUCAGCUUGCGUUGUCUACAUUAGUGGAAUCUUUAAGUCUUUCUGGUCUGUCUCAGCAUACUCACUGGCAGGCCCUAGACUACAUUACCCAAGUCAUUUUGCCGUCUUGGAAUCCUGGCUGAUGGAAUUUGAGAAAUGGCAGGUGUGAGGACUCUGACCUUCCCAUGAAGCAGGUCAUAAGACCCUCAUGUGAGAGAUGCCCUCUCUAUACCUGGAGAAAAGAAGCAGUCUUAUUUGUGAAGACAGAGAGACGCCAAGAGGAAUCUAAAUGAAUAGGCCUUGGAACCCCACAUGCACGGGCCUUGUGCUGUCGCUGCCGUGGCACCCCUUCUAGAAGGACUCUAUUCUCUAUAACAGAAGUGGGAGCCUUGGACAACUGAACGCCUAUCUCUAGCUCAAGAAAUGUCAGCUCUUUUUUUUUUUUUUUUUUUUUGAGACUGUCACCCAGUUGGGAGUACAGUGGCGCCAUCUUGGCUCUCUGUAACCUCCACCUCCUGGGUUCAAGCGAUUCUCCUGCCUCAGCCUCCUGAGUAGCUGGGGCUACAGUCGUGAAGGGGCCUCGUGACUGGGACUCAUGCCAAACAACUCGUUACAAAAGGAGCUAUGGUCCCAGACCACACCGAAGCUUCACGAGACCUCUCCUCAUCUGUGCACGGACAAGUGUCUGACUCUGGAGCCCAGGCUGUUGCUUUCCAGUCUGGUGGUGAAUCCUUCACAGUCUGAAAAUCUAGGUAUCUUGCACCAAGAAGUGGAAAAUAAAGAAGAGAAAUGAGAAGCAUGUUUGUAUUGGCUGUCUAUAAAAUAAGAGAAUGAAUUCCAGCAGACCCCAGACUUUUUGGCACCAGGGACCAGUUUCGUGGAAGACAAACUGUGUAAGGCAUGGUUUCAGGAUGAAACUGUUCCGCCUCAGAUCAUCAGGCAUUAGUUAGAUUCUCAUAAGGAGCUUGCAGCAUAGAUCCUCGCAUGUGCAAGUUCACAAUAGGGUCCACGCUCCUGUGAGAAUCUGAUGCAGCCACUGAUCUGACAGGAGGCGGAGCUCAGGCCAUCAUACUGUCCUGCCCGCUGCUUACCUCCUGCUGCGCGGCCUGGUUCCUAACAGGUCAUGGACUAGUACCCGUCAGUGGCUCAGGGGUUGGGGACCAUUGAAUUAUAAAUUUGAGAGCUCUCCUGAUAAUUCAGGAAAACAACUUGCUUUUGAGUUACCUUUCAAAAUAAAUUUUAUUCAGAUGAUUGCUUUGAUAUAAAUAAUCUAGUAAGGCUGUUUUGUAUUUCCAAAAUUAAACUCUCAAUUUCCUGUUUGUGUAAACACAGCCAUAAUGAAAUAGAUAAGAUGCAAAUUAAAAAGGAAAGAGAAUGACUGGUCUGUGAAAACCUCAUGAAACAGAACUUCUUGUUUAAACUGUUACUACCUACAAUUAUUGCUUUUAAGGUAUUUCUUAUAUAUUAAAAUAUCCUGUAUAAUCAUUUGAAAUAUUAUUUUAGGAAGGAAAAAUGAGUUUGAACAAUAGACUCUUCAUUGUUAAAUAGCCCCUGUGGGAGAUACGGAGAGCCUGGUGAUGACUGUCACCCCAUGGCGUGCGUUCCUGUACUAUUGAUUCGACUGUGUCUUAACUUGCACAUAUUCCACAUAUGCUUUUGCAGCACAAAUUCCAAAAUCUCAUGAGAAAUGUAAAAAUGUGUGCUGGGGACUGUUUCUUAAUGGGUUGUCUAUAAAGUAAGCGUGUGUGUUGCAUAUAUCUUGAUAUUUUUUCUUUUUCAUUUUUUUCAACUUAGCUGCACAUUAAAAUCAUCCAUCUUCGUUGGUCUCAAAACACGG
Gorilla gorilla gorilla (western lowland gorilla) is the source of this 2471-nucleotide long non-coding RNA. RefSeq lists it as uncharacterized. NCBI's taxonomy places the organism in Eukaryota, Metazoa, Chordata, Mammalia, Primates, Hominidae. The record is from RefSeq and is a predicted model, not a curated record. The transcript is spliced from 7 exons.